Molecule: ribosomal RNA, 425 nt
Filed under: Escherichia coli
Lineage: Bacteria; Pseudomonadati; Pseudomonadota; Gammaproteobacteria; Enterobacterales; Enterobacteriaceae
Description: partial 23S ribosomal RNA
Rfam family: Bacterial large subunit ribosomal RNA
Source: RNAcentral
ACACUAUGUGUUGUUGGGUAGGGGAGCGUUCUGUAAGCCUGUGAAGGUGGCCUGUGAGGGUUGCUGGAGGUAUCAGAAGUGCGAAUGCUGACAUAAGUAACGAUAAAGCGGGUGAAAAGCCCGCUCGCCGGAAGACCAAGGGUUCCUGUCCAACGUUAAUCGGGGCAGGGUGAGUCGACCCCUAAGGCGAGGCCGAAAGGCGUAGUCGAUGGGAAACAGGUUAAUAUUCCUGUACUUGGUGUUACUGCGAAGGGGGGACGGAGAAGGCUAUGUUGGCCGGGCGACGGUUGUCCCGGUUUAAGCGUGUAGGCUGGUUUUCCAGGCAAAUCCGGAAAAUCAAGGCUGAGGCGUGAUGACGAGGCACUACGGUGCUGAAGCGACAAAUGCCCUGCUUCCAGGAAAAGCCUCUAAGCAUCAGGUAACAU